This 1658-nucleotide long non-coding RNA is filed under the name Canis lupus familiaris (dog). Its description in RNAcentral is "lncRNA (ENSCAFG00030018755.1)". Lineage: Eukaryota; Metazoa; Chordata; Mammalia; Carnivora; Canidae. The record is from RNAcentral.
GAGAGAGAGAAUCCUAAACUGACUCUGCCCUGAGCGCAGAGACCCACAUGGGGCUUGAUCUCAAGACCCAGAGAUGGCAACCAGAGCUGAAACCAAGAGUUGGAGGCUUGACCGACUGCACCACUGAAACGCCCCAUAGAUAUUCACUUUUAAAAUGAUGAAGUCAGAAACGCAGAGCAUUUCAAAUCCGCAGAUAUUUCCAUUGCAUUGACUGGAGAGGAGGUAUGGAAGAGAACAGUCCAGAAGAGUCACUGAGGCAAACCUCAAGUUGUGGCACAGAUAAAGAGAUUGACAUUACAUCCAUUCCUUUUCUCUGGAAUCACAAGUUUAAGCAUUGUACUCAGCAGUAGUAAUACUAGAUCUUUAAAGAUCUAGUAAGGCAUGCAAAAAAUAAAUAAGUAACAAGCAAUCUAUAAGUAGUGAUUCUUUGGUUUAAUUCAAACAUUCACUUUUUCUAGAUAACAUCUUAAAAAUAUAAUUUUUUCUUUCAAAUUAAAUUGUCUUCUUUCUGUUGUUGCCAUUCUUUGGUUCAUUUUGUAUUACCAGUAACAUUUGUAAGAUCACAUUAUAAUAAUAGUAACAAGGAAUGCUGGGGUGACUCAGCUGGUUAAGUGGCUCAGGUCAUGAUCUCAGGAUCCUGGGAUCGAGCCCCACAUCUGGCUCUCUGCUCUGUAGGGAGUCUGCUUCUCCCUCUCCCUCUGUUCUCUUACUCUCUCAAAUUAAUAAACAAAAUCUUAAAAAAAUAAUAAUGACAAUGUUAAAGAAUUAAUAGAUUUAACAAUCCUAAAAGACAUAAAUCUAACCUUAUUAAUCCUGGCAUCCUCAAGGCUAGGACAGAGCCUGGCACCUAUUCAGUCCUUUAUAAAUUUGUGUUAAAUUUGUGUUAAAUGUAGCUGGCACUGAAAAAAUGCUGUAGUCCUAGGAAAAGCGUUAUGUUGUCCAAGAUAAAUCACAUACCUGGAGUCAGUUGUUAAGAUCCUUUGACUUAUUUGGUACUCUGCUAAAGUCUUUCUCCCUAUUCUGGAAGCUCAUUUAAUCCAACUAUAGUUUUUUGGUAGCAACGGUUUAUAAUCCUACUAAAGAAGGAGGAAGGGCAGCCCGGGUGGCGCAGCGGUUUAGCGCCACCGUCAGCCCGGGGCGUGAUCCUGGAGACCCGGGAUCGAGUCCCACGUCAGGCUCCCUGCAUGGAGCCUGCUUCUCCCUCUGCCUGUUUCUCCCUCUGCCUGUGUCUCUGCCUCUCUCUCUCUCAUGAAUAAAUAAAAAUAAAAACAUUAAAAAAAAAAAAAAAAAAAGAAGGAGGAAGACCAGGACAAAGGAGGGGGAGAAGAGAAGGAAAAAAAAAGGAAAAAGGUAUAUAAACAACAUUUUUCUACCUUAUCUCUCUUAUUGCUUUUUGUUCAUAGUGAGCCAUCUAAGAAGUAGAUUUGGGUCCAGAAGAGAUGGUCUAUACCAGGUGUUCAAUUAGAUAUCCUAUAGUCCAUAUUCAGCCCACAGAUAUGCUUUCUUGGCCCUAGACAACAUUUUUCUGGAUUUUAAGAUAUGUAAAUGGUUUUCAAUAUUUUAAAAUCCAGAAAUUUGCACAAAUAUCUAAAUUCUGAUCUUUCUUGAAUAAAAAUGAGAAGAAUUAACAAAAGUAGUCUCUUAUUCUCACCAGGUGG